GAUGAACGCUGGCGGCGUGCCUAAUACAUGCAAGUAGAACGCUGAAGGAAGGAGCUUGCUCUUUCCGGAUGAGUUGCGCACGGGUGAGUAACGCGUAGGUAACCUGCCUGGUAGCGGGGGAUAACUAUUGGAAACGAUAGCUAAUACCGCAUAACAGUAGAUGUUGCAUGAUAUCUACUUAAAAGGUGCAAUUGCACCACUACCAGAUGGACCUGCGUUGUAUUAGCUAGUUGGUGAGGUAACGGCUCACCAAGGCGACGAUACAUAGCCGACCUGAGAGGGUGGUCGGCCACACUGGGACUGAGACACGGCCCAGACUCCUACGGGAGGCAGCAGUAGGGAAUCUUCGGCAAUGGGCGGAAGUCUGACCGAGCAACGCCGCGUGAGUGAAGAAGGUUUUCGGAUCGUAAAGCUCUGUUGUAAGAGAAGAACGAGUGUGAGAGUGGAAAGUUCACACUGUGACGGUAUCUUACCAGAAAGGGACGGCUAACUACGUG
RNAcentral lists this ribosomal RNA (497 nucleotides) under uncultured bacterium. Its description in RNAcentral is "partial 16S ribosomal RNA". It matches the Rfam family "Bacterial small subunit ribosomal RNA", at positions 28 to 507 of the family's 1533-position model. The record is from RNAcentral.